GUCAAGCUAAGAAGGGCGCAGGGCGAAUGCCUUGGCACUGGGAGGCGAAGAAGGACGUGGUAAGCUGCGAAAAGCUACGGGGAGCCGCAAACAGGCGUUGAUCCGUAGAUGUCCGAAUGGGGAAACCCACCUGGAGGCAAGUCCAGGUAUCGCAUAGUGAAUACAUAGCUAUGCGAGGUCAACCGCCUGAACUGAAACAUCUAAGUAGGGCGAGGAAGAGAAAUCAAACGAGAUUCCGAAAGUAGUGGCGAGCGAAAUCGGAAGAGGCCAAACCAGAGGUAGAAAUACUUCUGGGGUUGUGGACUGCAUUUAAGAUCGCGCAAGUCUAACUGAACGACAUGGGAAGGUCGGCCAGAGAGGGUGAGAGCCCCGUAAGUGAAAGAUGAGCGCGCUGAGCAGGAUCCAGAGUACUGCGGGACACGAGGAAUCCCGUGGGAAGCCGGGGGGACCACCCUCCAAGCCUAAAUACUACCCAGUGACCGAUAGCGUAUAGUACUGUGAAGGAAAGGUGAAAAGAACCCCGGGAGGGGAGUGAAAUAGAACCUGAAACCCUGUGCCUACAAGCACAUAGAGCACGUCAAAGUGUGAUAUGGUACUUUUUGUAGAACGGUCCGGCGAGUGUAUGUACGUAGCGAGGUUAAGGACUAGAGGUCUGGAGCCGAAGGGAAACCGAGUCUGAACAGGGCGAAUUAGUUGCGUGUAUACGACCCGAAACCGGGUGACCUAUCCAUGUCCAGGUUGAAGUUGGGGUAAGACCCAAUGGAGGACCGAACCGACCCCUGUUGAAAAAGUGGCGGAUGAGGUGUGGAUAGCGGAGAAAUUCCAAUCGAACCCGGAUAUAGCUGGUUCUCCCCGAAAUAGCUUUAGGGCUAGCCUUAUGUUAGAUUAUCGGAGGUAAAGCACUGAAUGGGCUAGGGGCCGAGAGGUUACUGAACCCUAUCAAACUAAGAAUGCCGAAUAAUCGAUGCAUAGGAGUCAGACUAUGGGAGAUAAGUUUCAUAGUCAAAAGGGAAACAGCCCAGACCCACAGCUAAGGUCCCUAAAUAGAUUUAAGUGGAAAAGGAUGUGGGGGUGCACAGACAACCAGGAUGUUGGCUUAGAAGCAGCCAUACAUUAAAAGAGUGCGUAAUAGCUCACUGGUCGAGUGCCCCCGCGCCGAAAAUGUAACGGGGCUAAAAUCUAUACCGAAGCUUGGGCAUUGUAUUUAUACAAUGGGUAGGGGAGCGUCGUAUGCGGGGAGAAGCCAUAGCGGAAGCGGUGGUGGACUGCAUACGAGUGAGAAUGCCGGAAUGAGUAGCGAGAAUUGUGUGAGAAUCACAAUGGCCGAAAACCUAAGGUUUCUGGAGGAAGGUUCGUCCGCUCCAGGUUAGUCGGGAGCUAAGGCGAGGCCGAAAGGCGUAGUCGAUGCACACACGGUAGAGAUUCCGUGACCACCGAAAGAUUUAAGCAGAGUGACACUCUGAAAGGGCAUGACCCGGGCGCUGGUAGACCCGGGCGUAAGGGACUGAAAAUUAGUAGGGAAGCAUGCUUAGACGGAGGCGAGAAAAGCUCUGAGGUAUAUAUGAGGUGCCCGUACCGCAAACCGACACAGGUAGGUAGGAAGAGGAUUCUAAGGCCAACGGGAGAAGGGUUGUUAAGGAACUCGGCAAAAUGACCCCGUAACUUAGGGAUAAGGGGUGCUCAUGGAGACAUGAGCCGCAGAGAAUAGAUCCAGGCGACUGUUUAGCAAAAACACAGGUCUCUGCUAAAUCGAAAGAUGAAGUAUAGGGGCUGACACCUGCCCGGUGCUGGAAGGUUAAGGAGAUGAGUGAGAGCUUUGACCCGAAGCCCCAGUGAACGGCGGCCGUAACUAUAACGGUCCUAAGGUAGCGAAAUUCCUUGUCAGGUAAGUUCUGACCCGCACGAAUGGUGUAACGAUCUGGAUGCUGUCUCAACAACCCACCCGGCGAAAUUGUAGUACCGGUGAAGAUGCCGGUUACCCGCGACAAGACGGAAAGACCCCAUGGAGCUUUACUGCAGCCUGAUAUUGGAUUUCGGUAUUACAUGUACAGGAUAGGUGGGAGACUGGGAAGCAUAGGCGUCAGCUUAUGUGGAGUCGACCUUGGGAUACCACUCUUGUAGUGCUGGAAUUCUAACCUGCAGCCGUGAAACCGGCUGGGGGACAAUGUCAGGUGGGCAGUUUGACUGGGGCGGUCGCCUCCUAAAGAGUAUCGGAGGCGCUCAAAGGUUAGCUCAGCACGGACGGAAACCGUGCCAGAGAGUGUAAACGCAAAAGCUAGCCUAACUGCGAGACUGACAAGUCGAGCAGUAACGAAAGUUGGAGUUAGUGAUCCGGCGGUAUGUGAGUGGAAAUGCCGUCGCUCAACGGAUAAAAGCUACCCUGGGGAUAACAGGCUGAUCUCCCCCAAGAGUCCACAUCGACGGGGAGGUUUGGCACCUCGAUGUCGGCUCAUCGCAUCCUGGGGCUGAAUUCGGUCCCAAGGGUUUGGCUGUUCGCCAAUUAAAGCGGUACGCGAGCUGGGUUCAGAACGUCGUGAGACAGUUCGGUCCCUAUCUGUCGUGGGCGCAGGAUAUUUGAGAGGAGCUGUCCCUAGUACGAGAGGACCGGGAUGGACGCACCUCUGGUGCACCAGUUGUCACGCCAGUGGCACGGCUGGGCAGCUAAGUGCGGACCGGAUAAACGCUGAAAGCAUCUAAGCGUGAAGCCGCCCUCAAGAUAAGAUAUCCCACUGAAUAAUCAGGUAAGACCCCUUGAAGACUACGAGGUAGAUAGGCCGUAGGUGUAAGCAUGGUGACAUGUUCAGCUGGACGGUACUAAUCGGUCGAGGGCUUGACC
This 2836-nucleotide ribosomal RNA is filed under the name Neobittarella massiliensis (ex Bilen et al. 2018). RNAcentral's name for it is "Bacterial large subunit ribosomal RNA". It matches the Rfam family "Bacterial large subunit ribosomal RNA". Lineage: Bacteria; Bacillati; Bacillota; Clostridia; Eubacteriales; Oscillospiraceae. The record is from RNAcentral.